This 7193-nucleotide long non-coding RNA is filed under the name Nicotiana tabacum (common tobacco). RNAcentral describes it as "long non-coding RNA (NTAB_LNC006066)". The record is from RNAcentral. Lineage: Eukaryota; Viridiplantae; Streptophyta; Magnoliopsida; Solanales; Solanaceae.
GCACCAACAUCUUCCGCUGAGCUGAUAGCCUACUUGGAGGGCUCUCGACCUGUCUAUCGGGACCUACGGGCAUAAAACACAGCGUCCCCAGGCAAAAGGGACAUCAGUACGGAUAAUGUACUGAGUAUGUAAGGCACAUAAAUAAAUACAUAAGAGACAAUGAAGACAUAUAAAGUACAUGACUUAACCUGUAAGUCUGAAUAAUUUUGUAAAUCAUAAAUUACUUUUAGCGUCAUGCAUAUGCGUAUGAAUAUCAUGUCGUACAUAGGUACAUGUUUCAUAACAUCAUCAGCCUCUGAGGGUAUCCCAUCAUAUCAUAUCGGCCACUGUGCGCAAAAUCAUCAUCUUAUACCAGCUGAUCAGGUGGUGGUGCGUAUAUAACGCCAUAACCUUUCCCAUAUCGCAUAUACAUAUAUAUAUACAUACAUAUAUAUAUGCGUAUAUAACACCAUUUGAAUACAUACAUAUAUAUACAUAUAUAACGCCGUUUGAAUCAUAUUUUAGCCACUGUGAGCAAUAUCAUCAUCAUAUACCAGCUGAUCAGGUGGUGGUGCGUAUAUAACGCUGUAACCUUUUCUCAUACACCAUAUACAUAUAUUUACAUAUAUACGCGUAUAUAACGCCAUCUGGUCAUGAGUUAAUGCACAUGUAUAAAUGAGUGAAAUACAUGAAAAAUACAUAAUAAUCCCGAUAUUUCUUCCGAAUAAACUUUUUCAACUGUGUAUUAUUCUGAGACCCAUGAACAGAAGAUAAUAUAUUAUGACACAUGGAAAUUUAAGAACGUAGAUAUCUCUAAUACUUCUAUGAAUAGAGUUAUUUAUGGAUUUUGUGCAUUUGCACGUUUCGUUCGUAUCGUAUGGAUCAUGCCAAAAGAAUAGAAGGGAUAACCUUAACAUACUUGGACCGAUUCUCUUGACAAUACCUCUAACUCUCUUUUAUUUGGAAUAAAAAGCAUUUAGUUGGUUGUAGCGUAGAGAACUUCAUCAUAAAACUCAGACAAGUGAAUAGGUAGGUUUCGACCAUAAAAAUAAGUUGGAACUUGGAUGGCUCAUUUCGGAACAAGCAGGCGACCUCCAGGAAGAUGAGAACCUCGCCAAAGGGUGAUUGAAAAGCUUUACAUUUUAGUGAGAACCAAUACUGAAAAAAAAUUUCUUCUUUGUGAAAACGGAGGUAACACCAUAUGAGAUGUUCAAUGUAAAGGCUUUCAAUAUGAGUAUAAUAUGACAGCUUUUUUUUUGUUUUUAUCCUUUGGUUUAUUUGUAAUCCUUUUUACGUGUAAUCAAGACAAGCCAUGUCUUAAGACUUAUCAAACGUUGAUGCCACUUUGGCUUGGCUUAAUGCCAUGUGGCAGCUCAUAAAGGAUUCUUAUCCACUUAUUAGAUAAUUAAGUAAUGUCCUAUUACCCGGUAAUUAAUCAAUUACCCGUAUAAUUUAAAAAUUAUCUCAAUUUAAUUAAAUACUACUCUCUUUUAACAUAUCUUUUACACCUUACUAUUAUGUCCAUGUAGUACUUUGUAUGAAACUAGUCCAUAAAUACCGGAUAUUUUAGCUCGGGCCGUAUUUUAUCCUAAAAUGCCAAACUUUGACAAAAAUUCAUUUUCUUAGACUUGCUCCCCCUUUCACCUUUAUGAAUUUACUAAUCACUUGUGAAAUAGCAUAAUCCUUAUAAUCCCCAAAUAAUCUUUUUCUUGGACUGAUGUCAAUUACCUUACGACAAAUUCAACGUAAAAUACUGCAGGGUGCAACAUCGUCGUAACUUAAUACUACGAAAUGUGACAUUACCGUAAUGUAAUACUGCUGGGUAGAACACCGUCGUAACUUAAUACUGCUGGACGUAAUAUUGACGUAAUAUUGCGGGGCGUAACAUCAUUCCCCCCUUUGGAACAUUCGUCCUCGAAUGUUGACGGAUGCUCUUAUCAAUUUCGUAACUUAUAGCUCUUGUGAAUACCUUAACACUCUUUUUACCAUUUAAGCAGUUACUCUGUGAAUAAAUCCAAAGUCUAGGAUAUUCCCCCUUUUAGUCUUUUUGCUCGUAUCAUGACCUGUGGUCGAAAUCUUCCUAAUCUUGCAACUGGGUGGUUACCUCCUAUCAUGCAGCCUGGUAUGGACCCUGGNNNNNNNNNNNNNNNNNNNNNNNNNAUUGCGGGGCGUAACAUCAUUCCCCCCUUUGGAACAUUCGUCCUCGAAUGUUGACGGAUGCUCUUAUCAAUUUCGUAACUUAUAGCUCUUGUGAAUACCUUAACACUCUUUUUACCAUUUAAGCAGUUACUCUGUGAAUAAAUCCAAAGUCUAGGAUAUUCCCCCUUUUAGUCUUUUUGCUCGUAUCAUGACCUGUGGUCGAAAUCUUCCUAAUCUUGCAACUGGUGUUACCUCCUAUCAUGCAGCCUGUAUGACCCUGGCUUUGUAAGUGCACUUAUGCGAUUCAUCUUUUCUUUUUCCCUUUAUCUUUUAGUCAAUCUCUAUGCCUUACUUUGUAUAUAUAGGGCUUAAUAGGAUGCCUCUCUGGGACUCUAUAGGUAUAUUGAAGUCCUUUGCUCGAUACUUUGUACUACUUGCGAAUAUGGCCAUAUCUUAUUUCAUAGAUUUGGUUACCCAUUCACAUGACUUUACUGCAUUUACAUGGGUUAUACUAUACCAUAAUUUUUUUUUGCUUCAACCGACCUUUACUGAGGUAUGCUUACCAAGUUCCCAAUUACUUUUGUUGCCUACCCUUUAGGUAUAAAUCUCAGUCCUUUAAUGCCCUUUCAUUACCGUUCGUCUUAAGAAUCAUGGCCUAAUCUCAUGUCAUACUUUGUAACUUAUAUCUGACCAUUGUUGAUUCGCCUCAAUGUUGAUAUAUAAUCUUUUACUUGAAGACUUGAAAUUUCUUACGUAAUACAUUACCGCUAGGGCUUACGUUCCAUCGAGGAAUAUUUGAAGUGAUUUUCCUGAUCCACUUAGGGGUGAUCUAUACUUCAAUGAUCGUAUUUUAUAGCAUCCCAAUGUGAUUCACUUAUGUGGGUAUUUUAAUCUUGUACAAUCCAUGAAAUCCUCUUCAAAUCAUUACUCACUGGAAGGCCUAAACGUCAUCCUUUAUCCCUCACAAUUACACCGUCAUUGUACUAUCAAGGCAACAUUCCAUCUUUUCUAAAUGUUACUAGGCUUAGACUAGUUUUGAGUUCAUUCAGGCUAUACUGAACUUUCUCACUUUAAAGAAACCAUCAGCUCUUCUCGUUUUCAUGGGCUUAAUCCCGAGUACUUAUCCAUUCUCGUCACCUUCUCACUCGCCUUUUCUUAUCCUUACUCCUAUCUUCCUAAAACCUUGUCGCUCUACCAUACUUUAUCUUGCAACCUACACAUAUUCAUUUUACUACUUGCAAACUUUCUUCAACUUGCUUGCACCAUAGACUUCCUUAUGUUAUUCUGGAAUAUCAAGCGAGAUGUCAUAUCGUCUCUAACUCUUCUAUACUCUUUUAACUACACCUCUCAAUACGUAGAAACCAUAGGCUGGAAGAUAUGUCACUAACGAUGCCGCUAUCAUUCCUGGAUAUUGAAUCCCCGUUAUUAUAACCUUCUAUCCAAAAUAUGGAUUAUUCACGAUCUUCUACCUUUGAGUAUCUCGUACGUUGUUCACCUUUACCUUACUUAUCUUAAAACUUUGCAUCGUAUCUUCUAUCUCUUCCGUGACCUUCCCUCCACAUAGGUAUAAUUCACAUCCAUAACUUGAAGCUCUAUUAUAAUACUCGCACCUCUGGUACAUACACAAUCCGGUGGGAGCUUCGUACUGACUUCUUAUGAGGUUGGUACUUCUUCUAACUGGCUUCCUUGCAGAGCCAUUAUAGAUUAUGGUCCUUUUGUUAUUUCUCUUGAAUGUCUUAUAUUAAGGGCGAUUCUAUCAUGUUCUCAAGCCCAACUUCUAUAAUUUUUCUAGGUCCAAUAAUCAGACUCCUGAUUUACUUAGGUGAUGUAAUCCUUUAGUUUCCUCUUCCUUCUGAUCAGCCUUUACGUAGGCUUAAGCUAUCUUCCGAUCCAUAGCUCAUGGUAUCAGUUAUUACCUUAGCCUUUCAUGGGCAUUAUGGAAUAUCCAUGAUACAAUCUUCUAACAAUUCAAUCCUUUGUCUAUGCCCCGAGCCCAUUCUUUCUUUUAACUUAUUACGGAGUCUUCUAUGGUUGUAUAUGCUGCCUGUAUAAUACUCCAAAAUCUUGAGUGUAUCCAUAACAUACUAACCCUGGAUCAUUGAUCAAAUAAUUCUUUCGUUCUAUCUUAGCUUUCUUUUAACGUAAGCUAUUACUUUUCCUGGUCUUUUUGCCCUCUUGUGAUGUCCAUACUUAGCUUAUCUUAGUGCCCACACUUGCCAGAGUUUUUACACAACUCAUAUGAUCUUCAAAUAUUUUUUUUGAUUUUUACUUCCCGUUCACUAGCCACGGUAGAUUCCUCUUUCUUAUGGAGGACGUAUAAUAUUGUUGUGAAACUGUUGUUACAAGACCAUUUCCUCUUUAGGUCACUGUGCUUAAGUUGAAGCCUUCUUCCUCAUUUCCUCAGCUAGUCCUUCACUGUAGUACUUAGGAAGAACCCUUGACUCUCGUAAAGCUGUGAGCUUAUUUUGAUGUCCUUGCUUUCCUAUAAUCAGAUGUAGUUGCUUACUUCCAUGUCCUUGUGCUUGUAUGAUUGCUUCUGAACUGAUAUUUUGACUGGCUUUCCAGUGUCACUUUCUUUUAUCCCCCUAACACUCAUACGGUACCUUUAACUACCCCAACUCUUGUUUGAAUAUAUCUCAAGUAUUAUAAUGAUAUUCUCCGAGGCUGAACUCUUCAUGUUGGGUUCUACUAUGUUUAUCUCACACGAUCUGAUGAUUCGUCUGUAACCUCAUGUUUAGCCAUAACUGGGAUCUUCCUGACCAAUUACUAACUACUCGUUGGCCCAUUCUCAUAUCAAUAUUCCUCAUAAUAUUUCUUGGGUUACUUCUUUUGUCUUAACUUACGUCUCACACUAGCUCCUUAUUUAUUAAUAACAGCUUGGGCAUGAACCUUUACUUCCUCUCCUUGAUGUCGUGCUUGCAUAAUAUUCUUGAAUCGUAGCGUAUCUGUAAGAUUGGGAUAAGUGCCCUCUCAUUCCUCUUUCAUUUAUCCCAUUCUUCCUUUACAAUUCCAUAGUCACUAGAACCCCUUUACUUUAACUUAAUGUCACAUCACUUCAUAUUCCCCCCUUUUGGGUUGUACUAAGAGAUGAAGCCAUGAGGAUCUACCUAUAGAUGUUUUACCUCUUCAUCUUUGGCUUCGUUUCUCUACAUCAAUGAUCUUUACUUGCCUUGCGGCAAUCCUUCUGUACCAAGGAUGACAAAUUCCCUUACUCGCGAGGGUGACACUUAAUAUAACUAGUACAUACAGUCCCUUAAGCUUAACUUGGAUCACAUUGCUUGCUCUAAGGAAGCAUCUUCCUGAAUGACCAUCCUCUGAAUUCAUCAUGAAUUUUCUUUUGUGGUCCAUUCUAUUACAGCCGGAAUGAAAUCUGAAAUUCCCAUGAUGCGGAGUACUUUCCAAUCAUUCAGUCCCUAAUUCAUUAUUAGUUUAUCUUGUUUACCAGCCCAUACUGAUUUCUAUUACUCUGGGGAUUAACUCUCCCUUUUGGUAGUUGCGUUGGAGUCACAAACUUAUUUCUCGAAAUGAUACCACUUUUGUCACGACCCAAACCGAUGGGCCGCGACGGGCACCCGGUACCUUACUCGAUCGAGUACCAAUGUAACGUAUCUUCCUUAUUACAUCAUCAUAUACACGUGACAUCCGGGCCUAAUAGGCCAACAUAUUCCCUUAUAAAGUCAAAACAUAGGCCGACAAGGCCGUACAAUCUUUUACGUACACAACAUAUGUCUACAAGCCUAUAAGAAUACAUAAAUACCAAAAAGGUCGGGACAGAGUCCCGCCAUACCAAUAAUACACGUUUAAAUCAUACUAACCAAACGAGCAACUCCGAAGCAAAUGGAGCGCACCAACAUUUUCCACUGAGCUAAUAGCCUACUUGGAGGGCUUUUGACCUGUCUAUCGGGACCUGCAGGCAUGAAACACAGCGUCCCCAGGCAAAAGGGACGUCAGUACGGAUAAUGUACCGAGUAUGUAAGGCACAUAAAUAAAUACAUAAGAGACACGGAAGACAUAUAGAGUACACGACUUAACCUGUAAGUCUGAAUAAUUUUGUAAAUCAUAAAUUACUUUUAACGUCAUGCAUAUGCGUAUGAAUGUCAUGUCGUGCAUAGGUACAUGUUUCAUAACAUCAUCAGCCUCUGAGGGCAUCCCAUCAUAUCAUAUCGACCACUGUGCACAAAAUCAUCAUCGUAUACCAGCUGAUCAGGUGGUGGUGCAUAUAUAACGCCAUAACCUAUCCCAUAUCCCAUAUACACACACACAUACACACAUAUGUAUAUAUAUAUACGUGUAUAUAAUGCCAUUUGAAUACAUACAUAUAUACGCGUAUAUAACGCCGUUUGAAUCAUAUUUUAGCCACUGUGGGCAAUAUCAUCAUCAUAUACCAGCUGAUCAGGAGGUGGUGCGUAUAUAAUGCCAUAACUUUUCCCAUAUCCCAUUUACAUAUUUAUAUAUACGCGUAUAUAACGCCGUUUGAAUCAUAUUUUAGUUAUUGUGGGCAAUAUCAUUAUCAUAUACCAGCUGAUCAGGUGGUGGUGCAUAUAUAACGCUGUAACCUUUUCCCAUACACCAUAUACAUAUAUUUACAUAUAUACGCGUAUAUAACGCCAUCUGGUCGUGGGUCAAUGCACAUGUAUAAAUGAGUGAAAUGCAUGAAAAAUACGUAAUAAUCCCAAUAUUUCUUCCAGAUAAACUUUUUCAACUGUGUAUUAUUCUGAGACCCAUGAACAGAAGAUAAUAUACUAUGACACAUGGAAAUUCAAGAACAUAGAUAUCUCUAAUACUUCUAUGACUAGAGUCAUUUAUGAAAUUGUGCAUUUGCACAUUUCGUUCGUAUCGUAUGGAUCAUGCCAAAAGAAUAGAAGGAUAGCCAUAACAUAUUUGGACCGAUUCUCUUGACAAUCCCUCUAACUCUCUUUUAUUUGGAAUAAAAAGCAUUUAGUUGGUUGUAGCGUAGAGAACUUUAUCAUAAAACUCAGACAAGUGAAUAGGUAGGUUCCGACCAUAAAAAUAAGUUGGAACUUGGAUGGCUCAUUUCGGAACAAGCAGGCGACCUCCAGGAAGAUGAGAACCUC